GUUUUUCUGUGAGCCUAAGACAUAGCAGCCAAGUUACACUACAAGAUACCUGGACACCUGGACACAAACACUUUCCUAAAGCUGAUCUGCUACAGAGAAAAUUACUGUUACUAUAUGAAUCUGAAGCAGCUGCAAUGGGAAGAAAAAUGUUGAAAACGCAGCAUGCAAAACUCAUCAAGUAUGGUCGGGUUCAUCCAUAUGAAAGGCCAUUAGCAAACAUGUGGC
Molecule: long non-coding RNA, 225 nt
Filed under: Gallus gallus (chicken)
Lineage: Eukaryota; Metazoa; Chordata; Aves; Galliformes; Phasianidae
Source: RNAcentral